RNAcentral lists this long non-coding RNA (1137 nucleotides) under Coturnix japonica (Japanese quail). RNAcentral's name for it is "lncRNA (ENSCJPG00005001376.1)". Lineage: Eukaryota; Metazoa; Chordata; Aves; Galliformes; Phasianidae. The record is from RNAcentral.
AUGAUAGAUUUAUUGGGCAGGGUCUUCAUCUGGUGUAAAUUGGCAUUGCUGCAUUGAUUCCUGUGGGGCUGUUGAUUUAUGCCAGCUGAGGAUCUGGUCCGUUUUCAUGAUAUUCAAAUAUCAAUCCUUGCAUCCCCUUUUCCCAUCCGUAGGCUGUUUUUUUUUUUUUUUCUUUUUUUUUUUUUUCUUUUUUCCUGUUGCACCUCUAAGAAGAAAACGCAAAUGAGUUAAGGGGCUGUCACCAGCCUAUAGAAGAAUUUGCUUUUCUUUCUUUGUGACUAGGAUCUCUCCUGUUAAUUUCAAUGGCAGAUUCCUCACAACUUUCUCCAAAACUUUUUACCAUGUCCUCCUGAGGAUGUCAGUUCCUAUUGCAGACUGAAACAUUAAGAGGAGAAGUUAUUAGCUAUUCUCUUUACAUACUGCCUUUCUUUAUAUCUGAAUUAUUAGAAGGAUGAAUGCUGGUCAUCAUAAGAAAUAAUGAGUUUUAGAAAGUGAAAAUGAAACUGGCAAAAACAAAAGAAAUCUGAUCUUGGCAGAAGGGUCCACAGAGAAGUAGAACAAAGAGGUAAAAGAUAAAAAAGAAAAAAUGAGAACUUAAAUGGAAAAAGAAAGGGAAGAAAAAGAAGAAAAGAGAAGAAAAGAGAGAUUUGGACUAAGAAAAAGCAAAGUAAUUCCUCAGCAGAAUUGAAAGCAGUCAUGAUGCAGGCAGAAGGAACAGAUCAUCAGAUCUUGAAAGACACUUCUCGUCCCCUUGAAUGAAUAUUAUUAAUACUGGUCAUUAUAUCUAAAGCCAAAUGGUAUCAUCAUACAAGUGACUUUGAUGGUUCCAGGGUGGACCUAGUAGUACGCAUUUGGAAGCAAAAUGAAACAAGAGCAGAAUGUCCUACAUCUGCAUGGAGCACAGAUAACUGGAAUGAACGAAGUCCAGAAUGGUACCCACAUACCACAGCAGCAAUUGAGAUACAGCUUCUUCCUAAAAUCAGCCAAGAUUGUUUUAUUUCUGAAUAAUAGGUGUCAUUUGAUACUUCUCUGAUGGACUUUUUCUUUUUUGAGUGAAGCUAAAUGAGAUAAGGUAAGACACUCUGAAAGUACAAAAACAGACUUUAAAAAGUGUAUUAUUUUAUUGCCUGAAUUUGG